GACAGAGGGUGCAAACGUUGUUCGGAAUUACUGGGCGUAAAGCGCGUGUAGGCGGCAACGCAAGUCGGAUGUGAAAGCCCAUGGCUCAACCAUGGAAGUGCACCCGAAACUGCGUUGCUAGAGUCUCGGAGAGGAAGGUGGAAUGCUUGGUGUAGAGGUGAAAUUCGUAGAUAUCAAGCGGAACACCGGUGGCGAAGGCGGCAUCCUGGACCGGCAUUGACGCUGAGGCGCGAAAGCCAGGGGAGCAAACGGG
This 253-nucleotide ribosomal RNA is filed under the name uncultured prokaryote. Its description in RNAcentral is "partial 16S ribosomal RNA". It matches the Rfam family "Bacterial small subunit ribosomal RNA", at positions 524 to 776 of the family's 1533-position model. The record is from RNAcentral.